This is a long non-coding RNA of Gadus morhua (Atlantic cod), 1395 nucleotides long. The record is from Ensembl. NCBI's taxonomy places the organism in Eukaryota, Metazoa, Chordata, Actinopteri, Gadiformes, Gadidae.
GUACAUAUGACAGGACGCUCUGAGGAUUCAGGGGAUGAUCCGUGUAUUGUUGUUAUUAGAUGUGUUAUGUAUAUCUAUAUCAUUUUAUUUCAUUCAACUUUAUUUUGUUUUCAUUUAUCAGUCUGAAUCCUUUGCUUUUUGGCUCUUGAGGGAAUUUUCCCAAGGAGGGAUCAAUACAGUUUAUCUUAUUUCUUAUCUUAAAUAUAAAUAUGUCUUGUAUGACAGUGAAGGUUUGUCUCUAGCCUAUAUCCUAAUUUGUGAAGUAGUUUGAUGUUUUCUAGAGAAUAGUGAUCGUACGAAUCGUGUGUUUUAUUAAGUGAAGUGCUGCUUAAUGUAGAUGAGAUUUCCGUUUGUCUGUCUGACUGUCUCUGUCUGUCAUGCGUUCCAAGAUGCAUGCGCCUCACAAUCCGAUACAAAGAAGCACUGCCUUUGCGUUGCUACGUGUGCAGCACUGCUCCGACCAAUGAGCAAUGCAACCGGAAUAACCAAACCUGCCCGCCAUUGGAGAACCGCUGUUUGACCAUCAUAGACAUUCGAGGCUCUUCCAGGACCAUCUCCAAACAGUGUGCCACCCCGUCCACCUGCACGGGGGGUUGUGACCACAUCGGGGCUGGACGCGAACGGUGACGGCGUCCUGGCAGAAUGCUGCAGAAACAGUAACCUCUGUAAUGUCAACGGGGCCGGUAGCAUCUCCGCCCGCAAGGCCCUGCCGGCGCUGUCCCUGCUGGUGCUGCUGGGACUGGUGGCGCAGUAAGACGUUCACAGAGGCGCACUUAUGCAAUACGUCACGUAUCGCAAAGUGAUUUUAUCAUGGGUGUUACCCACUGUCUUAUAAUUAUAUACUCUAUCGAAUGCUGCUUUGAUUCAUCAUGAGGAAACCCGUUGGACUUGCUAGAAGUUCAACUGGUUUGUUUGGUUUAAUCUUUUGAUAAUGGGAGAACGCAGGUUUUUGAAGCGAGGGACUCGGUUCUGGGGUGACCGGAGGAAAUGUUGGCCUACAGGACAUGGAGCAGAGAGAGGUUAAAUAAAUAAACACAAUUAAAUGGAGAAAUAGUGACCAGGUCCCAUUGAUCACUAGCUGCUGUUUCAUUACAGCCCUGAUGACUUAUUACACUACACACAUCAGUUAGUAUCGGUGGCUACGUUUUUUUAAUUGACUGUUAACCUUUAUACAUCAUUAUUAUUUACUUUAAAUAUACUUCAAUUGAAAUGGUUGCGUCCUUGGAAAAAAUAAAUGUGUGUUGUGAACAUCAGCAAUAUUUGAUCAUAAUUUCACUUGAAUACCCUGCUCAGAAAUAGGACUUUCAAUAAGAAUCUUAUAAAAUAUAUGUAUAAAGAUGCAGACACUAAGGAGACUUGUAUGUUGGCUGAUACUUAAUAAAAGCUUCAAACAGA